GGCAGGCUUAACGCAUGCAAGUCGAGGGGCAGCAUGCUUUUAGCUUGCUAAGGCCGAUGGCGACCGGCGCACGGGUGAGUAACACGUAUCCAACCUGCCGUCUACUCUUGGACAGUCUUCUGAAAGGAAGAUUAAUACAAGAUGGCAUCAUGAGUCCGCAUGUUCACAUGAUUAAAGGUAUUCCGGUAGACGAUGGGGAUGCGUUCCAUUAGAUAGUAGGCGGGGUAACGGCCCACCUAGUCUUCGAUGGAUAGGGGUUCUGAGAGGAAGGUCCCCCACAUUGGAACUGAGACACGGUCCAAACUCCUACGGGAGGCAGCAGUGAGGAAUAUUGGUCAAUGGGCGAGAGCCUGAACCAGCCAAGUAGCGUGAAGGAUGACUGCCCUAUGGGUUGUAAACUUCUUUUAUAAAGGAAUAAAGUCGGGUAUGGAUACCCGUUUGCAUGUACUUUAUGAAUAAGGAUCGGCUAACUCCGUGCCAGCAGCCGCGGUAAUACGGAGGAUCCGAGCGUUAUCCGGAUUUAUUGGGUUUAAAGGGAGCGUAGAUGGAUGUUUAAGUCAGUUGUGAAAGUUUGCGGCUCAACCGUAAAAUUGCAGUUGAUACUGGAUAUCUUGAGUGCAGUUGAGGCAGGCGGAAUUCGUGGUGUAGCGGUGAAAUGCUUAGAUAUCACGAAGAACUCCGAUUGCGAAGGCAGCCUGCUAAGCUGCAACUGACAUUGAGGCUCGAAAGUGUGGGUAUCAAACAGGAUUAGAUACCCUGGUAGUCCACACGGUAAACGAUGAAUACUCGCUGUUUGCGAUAUACUGCAAGCGGCCAAGCGAAAGCGUUAAGUAUUCCACCUGGGGAGUACGCCGGCAACGGUGAAACUCAAAGGAAUUGACGGGGGCCCGCACAAGCGGAGGAACAUGUGGUUUAAUUCGAUGAUACGCGAGGAACCUUACCCGGGCUUAAAUUGCAGAUGAAUUACGGUGAAAGCCGUAAGCCGCAAGGCAUCUGCGAAGGUGCUGCAUGGUUGUCGUCAGCUCGUGCCGUGAGGUGUCGGCUUAAGUGCCAUAACGAGCGCAACCCUUGUUGUCAGUUACUAACAGGUUCCGCUGAGGACUCUGACAAGACUGCCAUCGUAAGAUGUGAGGAAGGUGGGGAUGACGUCAAAUCAGCACGGCCCUUACGUCCGGGGCUACACACGUGUUACAAUGGGGGGUACAGAGGGCCGCUACCACGCGAGUGGAUGCCAAUCCCCAAAACCUCUCUCAGUUCGGACUGGAGUCUGCAACCCGACUCCACGAAGCUGGAUUCGCUAGUAAUCGCGCAUCAGCCACGGCGCGGUGAAUACGUUCCCGGGCCUUGUACACACCGCCCGUCAAGCCAUGGGAGCCGGGGGUACCUGAAGUGCGUAACCGCGAGGAGCGCCCUAGGGUAAAACUGGUGACUGGGGC
RNAcentral lists this ribosomal RNA (1436 nucleotides) under uncultured organism. RNAcentral's name for it is "16S ribosomal RNA". It matches the Rfam family "Bacterial small subunit ribosomal RNA". The record is from RNAcentral.